CGGAGGAUCCAAGCGUUAUCCGGAAUCAUUGGGUUUAAAGGGUCCGUAGGCGGUUUUAUAAGUCAGUGGUGAAAUCUGGUCGCUCAACGAUCAAACGGCCAUUGAUACUGUAAGACUUGGAUUACUUGGAAGUAACUAGAAUAUGUAGUGUAGCGGUGAAAUGCUUAGAGAUUACAUGGAAUACCAAUUGCGAAGGCAGGUUACUACAAGUAUAUUGACGCUGAUGGACGAAAGCGUGGGGAGCGAACAGGAUUAGAUACCCUGGUAGUCCACGCCGUAAACGAUGGAUACUAGCUGUUUGGAGCAAUCUGAGUGGCUAAGCGAAAGUGAUAAGUAUCCCACCUGGGGAUACGCUCGCAAGAGUG
RNAcentral lists this ribosomal RNA (365 nucleotides) under uncultured organism. RNAcentral describes it as "bacterial SSU rRNA". It matches the Rfam family "Bacterial small subunit ribosomal RNA", at positions 526 to 896 of the family's 1533-position model. The record is from RNAcentral.